Vicugna pacos (alpaca) is the source of this 1633-nucleotide non-coding RNA. The record is from RefSeq and is a predicted model, not a curated record. NCBI's taxonomy places the organism in Eukaryota, Metazoa, Chordata, Mammalia, Artiodactyla, Camelidae.
CUGAUACUGACCAUUAGUUGAGUUCAGGCUCAUAUGACUGCUUGGACCAGAGGCUGAGAGUUGAGGCCGGGGAUAUGAGCAACAGAGGGAGAGGGCAUGCUGGCACAGGCCAGAAUAAAGGGAUUCUCUCUCAGAGGCCUGAGUCUGCAUUUAAGAAGUUGAUUGCCCAGCAGAAGAAAUCAUGUCAAAGGUCCCGAAGUCACUGAGCCCCCCAGAUUCAACAGGAGGGGACAUACUCCAGCUGUCUUUGGAGAGACCAGUCUGCCCAAGGUGAGUCCUAGGGAAACAGAAGUUACACUUAAAAAGAGAAACACCUGGAAGAGCUAAAAGAAGUCAAAAUGCGAUUCAACAAAAUGUGAACAAUCACAUCAGGACCUUUCUUAUGUUAAUGGGUGGAGAGGGCUUGGAAGGAGAAAUACACUGGCCCUCAGACUGAAAGAAGGUUUGACAUGCAGAUAGAAGUGGGGCAGCAAGGGAAGCUAGAGACACAGAAGACCAGUUUUGUCAAAGGUUAUUUUCUUUUUUGUUCGCCUGUGCAAGAACCCAGUGAAAGCUGCUUGCAAUGGUCCUUUACAUCUAGUUCCCAGCUUAGUGGCAGUUAUAACAGAGCUCACUUCACCAAGGCCCUUGAGGAUGGAGGCAUAUUCGUUAGCUCUGAGUACUGGCCUCCUUCAAUUACGCUGGAAAAUCCAGAUUCUCUGAAAACUGAGUCCUAAAUUAAGCACAACUGGCUCAAAACCCAUUUGCUGGUAUUUUAUACAACCUACCAAUGUGGAGACCACAUUCCUUGGAGGAGCAUGGAGAGCAUGUGAUAACGUUCUGUACAGAUUAGAUUUCCUGGUUGCAGCAUUUGGUUAAGUGGAGGAUAUUAAAAAACAAAACAAGAUAUAAAGACACAGAAAGAAUAGUUUAAGCCACAUUAAAUCAUUGUCAGACAGUUUUGGGGAACAAAUUAAAUCCUUCCAAGAGGAUAAAAAACAUGAGAUUUUGCAGUUUUUUAUCUCCUUUAACCCUACUUGCUUGAAAUAGUCACUUCUUCAUAUCUUAAAUAGAAAAUUUAGUCGGCCAUUUUAUUUUAAGAUGAAAUACCAGUGUUCCCUGAAAAUAGGCAUACAUGUGUUCUAAAGACAAUACUCACCUCCUCUUGUCAACCUGUAAGGUGAAAGUUAGAUAUCAGAGUUGGCCCAGGAGGUGGGCUGAAGAUCACAUGUUAGUCUCAAUAACAACUCUCAACAAACUCAAGAAAGUUAAAAUCAUAUCAAACACCUUUUCCAACCACAAUGGUGUGAAACUAGAAAUCAAUAAUGAGGGAAAAAAAUUGGAAAAACCACAAAAACAUGGAGAUUAGACAAUGUGCUACUAAAUAACCAAUGAGUCAAAGAAAUCAGAGAAGAAAUAAAAAAAAAUCUAAAGACAAAUGAGGACAGAAAUGCAACAUACCAAAAUCUAAGAGAUGCAGCAGAAGUAGUUCUGAGAGGGAAGUUCCUAGCAAUACAGGCUGCCUCAAGUAAUAAGCAAAAAUUCCAUGUAAACACUCUUAACUUUAUACCUAAAGUAACUGGAAAAAGGACAAAGCCCAAAAUUAGUAGAAGGGAAAAAAUAAUAAAAUCAGAGAGGAAAUAAAUAAGAGACU